RNAcentral lists this ribosomal RNA (1496 nucleotides) under Salmonella enterica subsp. enterica serovar Thompson. RNAcentral describes it as "bacterial LSU rRNA". It matches the Rfam family "Bacterial large subunit ribosomal RNA", at positions 1 to 1426 of the family's 2925-position model. The record is from RNAcentral. Lineage: Bacteria; Pseudomonadati; Pseudomonadota; Gammaproteobacteria; Enterobacterales; Enterobacteriaceae.
GGGUUGUGAGGUUAAGCGACUAAGCGUACACGGUGGAUGCCCUGGCAGUCAGAGGCGAUGAAGGGCGUGCUAAUCUGCGAUAAGCGCCGGUAAGGUGAUAUGAACCGUUAUAACCGGCGAUACCCGAAUGGGGAAACCCAGUGUGACUCGUCACACUAUCAUUAACUGAAUCCAUAGGUUAAUGAGGCGAACCGGGGGAACUGAAACAUCUAAGUACCCCGAGGAAAAGAAAUCAACCGAGAUUCCCCCAGUAGCGGCGAGCGAACGGGGAGGAGCCCAGAGCCUGAAUCAGCAUGUGUGUUAGUGGAAGCGUCUGGAAAGGCGCGCGAUACAGGGUGACAGCCCCGUACACAAAAGCGCAUGUGUUGUGAGCUCGAUGAGUAGGGCGGGACACGUGGUAUCCUGUCUGAAUAUGGGGGGACCAUCCUCCAAGGCUAAAUACUCCUGACUGACCGAUAGUGAACCAGUACCGUGAGGGAAAGGCGAAAAGAACCCCGGCGAGGGGAGUGAAAAAGAACCUGAAACCGUGUACGUACAAGCAGUGGGAGCCCCACCACUAAGCCAGUGGUGAACUCCACAUACGCAUCCUUUGCUGAGGAUACGGUUAACGGAGCGAAAGCGACGUUCAACCGCAAAAGAAGCAGAGGGGGCUUAGUGGUGGGGUGACUGCGUACCUUUUGUAUAAUGGGUCAGCGACUUAUAUUCUGUAGCAAGGUUAACCGUAUAGGGGAGCCGUAGGGAAACCGAGUCUUAACCGGGCGUUAAGUUGCAGGGUAUAGACCCGAAACCCGGUGAUCUAGCCAUGGGCAGGUUGAAGGUUGGGUAACACUAACUGGAGGACCGAACCGACUAAUGUUGAAAAAUUAGCGGAUGACCUGUGGCUGGGGGUGAAAGGCCAAUCAAACCGGGAGAUAGCUGGUUCUCCCCGAAAGCUAUUUAGGUAGCGCCUCGUGAAUUCAUCUCCGGGGGUAGAGCACUGUUUCGGCUAGGGGGCCAUCCCGGCUUACCAACCCGAUGCAAACUGCGAAUACCGGAGAAUGUUAUCACGGGAGACACACGGCGGGUGCUAACGUCCGUCGUGAAGAGGGAAACAACCCAGACCGCCAGCUAAGGUCCCAAAGUCAUGGUUAAGUGGGAAACGAUGUGGGAAGGCCCAGACAGCCAGGAUGUUGGCUUAGAAGCAGCCAUCAUUUAAAGAAAGCGUAAUAGCUCACUGGUCGAGUCGGCCUGCGCGGAAGAUGUAACGGGGCUAAACCAUGCACCGAAGCUGCGGCAGCGACACUCAGGUGUUGUUGGGUAGGGGAGCGUUCUGUAAGCCUGUGAAGGUGUGUCGUGAGGCAUGCUGGAGGUAUCAGAAGUGCGAAUGCUGACAUAAGUAACGAUAAAGCGGGUGAAAAGCCCGCUCGCCGGAAGACCAAGGGUUCCUGUCCAACGUUAAUCGGGGCAGGGUGAGUCGACCCCUAAGGCGAGGCCGAAAGGCGUAGUCGAUGGGAAAC